GUCUCAGUAGUGUAGUGAUUAGUGCACAGCCCCGGAAAGGUUGAGAAGCCGGUUCGAAUCCUGCCUGAGAUG
Molecule: transfer RNA, 72 nt
Filed under: Nippostrongylus brasiliensis
Lineage: Eukaryota; Metazoa; Nematoda; Chromadorea; Rhabditida; Heligmosomidae
Rfam family: tRNA
About the family: Transfer RNA (tRNA) molecules are approximately 80 nucleotides in length. Their secondary structure includes four short double-helical elements and three loops (D, anti-codon, and T loops). Further hydrogen bonds mediate the characteristic L-shaped molecular structure. tRNAs have two regions of fundamental functional importance: the anti-codon, which is responsible for specific mRNA codon recognition, and the 3' end, to which the tRNAs corresponding amino acid is attached (by aminoacyl-tRNA synthetases). tRNAs cope with the degeneracy of the genetic code in two manners: having more than one tRNA (with a specific anti-codon) for a particular amino acid; and 'wobble' base-pairing, i.e. permitting non-standard base-pairing at the 3rd anti-codon position.
Source: Rfam by way of RNAcentral